CAUUAGCCGCGGUAAUACAGAGGGUGCGAGCGUUAAUCGGAUUUACUGGGCGUAAAGCGUGCGUAGGCGGCUUUUUAAGUCGGAUGUGAAAUCCCUGAGCUUAACUUAGGAAUUGCAUUCGAUACUGGGAAGCUAGAGUAUGGGAGAGGAUGGUAGAAUUCCAGGUGUAGCGGUGAAAUGCGUAGAGAUCUGGAGGAAUACCGAUGGCGAAGGCAGCCAUCUGGCCUAAUACUGACGCUGAGGUACGAAAGCAUGGGGAGCAAACAGGAUUAGAGACCCCUGUAGUCCCUGUCUCUUAUAC
This 301-nucleotide ribosomal RNA is filed under the name uncultured bacterium. RNAcentral's name for it is "partial 16S ribosomal RNA". It matches the Rfam family "Bacterial small subunit ribosomal RNA", at positions 509 to 807 of the family's 1533-position model. The record is from RNAcentral.